This is a non-coding RNA of Rhodobacteraceae bacterium CG2_30_10_405, 71 nucleotides long. The record is from Rfam. Lineage: Bacteria; Pseudomonadati; Pseudomonadota; Alphaproteobacteria; Rhodobacterales; Paracoccaceae.
GCGGGUAUGGUGAAAUGGUAUCAUAAGACCCUUCCAAGGUUAAGGCGCGGGUUCGAUUCCCGCUACCCGCU